Molecule: long non-coding RNA, 2342 nt
Organism: Sorghum bicolor (sorghum)
Lineage: Eukaryota; Viridiplantae; Streptophyta; Magnoliopsida; Poales; Poaceae
Exons: 2
Source: RefSeq, a predicted model, not a curated record
CAUCCAGCCGAGAGCAUGUCUUCUGUUGCUUUGGGCCAUGUCCGGAUCAGCCCAAUACAAUAAUCUUUCUUUCUCCCAACUCCUUGCUGUCCAUAUACCCCUCUCUGUCACAUGAGGAUGCAGCCUCUCUCUCAUUGAAAUACCCCUCCUUUUUCUCUUCAUGUAGGGAUUAUGGAAGCAUCUAAUGCCUUCUCAUCAAAUUUUCUCUUCCUCUUCAAUUACAAGCAUGCAUGUAACGACUACAACAGUAUAUCAUUCAUCUCUCUUUCACGUGAAUAAGUCUCUUCUCCCCCUCAUGUAAAUAACAGCAGUAUUUAAUCCAUUGUUCCACGUUCUUUUUAUUCCCCUCAUCAAUAUAUGUCAUCUCUCCCUUUCUAAGUGUGUGAGUAAGAGCACAAAAAAUUGUCAACCAUCAAUGACAUGGCAGCCACACCGUCCUGCUGCCCACGCCCACUUCUCCCCAUGCAAAAGCAUAUGCACAUAUUCUUUCCUCUCUUAAUUACUAGACACACCUCUCUUAUAUGUGCUAUUUUACUCCAACAAUUUCUCUCUUCCACUUUAUUCACAUACAUGCAGCAGCUAGAAAUAUCUUCCUAACCUCAAUUCUACUCGCUUAAUUUUCCUUGGAAAUGCCUCUAUUCUAUACUCUUUUAUGUGUGGUCCUUCAUCAUCUUUAAAUAUAUGCAUGCACAAGACCGUAGUUAUAUUUCUUCGUUCUUUUCCUCAUGCAAAAUCAGAUGACAUCUCCUCUCUACCUCAUCCAAAAAAAAUAUAGCAUCCAAUGCUCACUCUCUUAAUUCCUUGGUCACACCUCCUUUUCAUUUUCUCUGAUGUCUGCUCCUUCACUCCAUUCCAAUCAACUGCAUGCACAUACAACAGCAGCCCCUCUCCUAUUCCUGUGGCACAUUCUCCUCUUACUCUCAUGCAAAACAGCAGGAUGUAAUGCCUCAUCAAUCUCUUCCAUGCUCUUCAAUAGCAUGCACAUCAAUAUCUCUUCUCCCCUCUCUCACUGAACAGAUCACCACCCCAUCAUAUGGUGCCUCCUCUCUCCCUCAUCUGAAAUAACAACAGCCUUCCUCCUUAAUUCCCUUCGUUACACCUCUCUUUCGUCCUCUGUUAUGUCUACUCCUUUACACCAAUGCAUGCAUGCACAUAACUACAAGAAAUAUCUCCUUUAUCCUCUCUUUUCUCACGCAAAAAAACCAGCAGCUCACUCUUCUUCAAUUCCUUUUUGAUGGCACCCAUUUUUACUCCACUUUAUAUCUCUUUCAAUUGCAUGGAUCCAUGCACAAAUUAAAAGUCAUAUCUCCUCCUCCUCUAUUUCUCACGCAGCAGCCAUAUCCUCUCAUUUCCUUCCUCUUACAGCCAGCAGCAACACCCCUCUUCAAAUCUCUCUUGAUAGCAAUUAUUUUUCACUCUCUUUUAUUUCACUUCAAUGACAUGGACACAUGCAGCUGCAGCAGCUAUAAAUCCCCCCUCAUCUCCUCUCUCCCUCACGCACACAGCAGAUGGGCAGCCCCUCUCACGCCACCUCUUCCACCUGCUGUUGCUCCACAAAGACAGCAGCCAACACCUCCUCUCCUCUUGCUCCAUGCAGAUCAGAUGCAUUCCCUCCCCACCUCCCCUCUUCUUCUCCUUCUCUAUCUGCAAUGGACGCCCCAACUGCUCCACUCCACCUCCAUGGAUGUCCUCCUCUUCCUCCUUCCCUUUUCUCUCCAUGAAAAUGCAGCCCCCGUGCAACAGCAAUUCCUUUUUGCCAUUGCAAUUCCAGCCCGAACAAAUGGCUUGUGAUUUGGACCGGCUACCGACCUCAUCUACUGCAGGCGUCCGCAAAUCGAUCCCUCGCUGCUGCAUUUUGUUUCCCGCCGCACCCCUGAUCCCAAAGCCUAAACAUGCCGAGGAUGUUGUUGCCAUUCCCCUCUGGACCGAGCAUGUGGGCUGCAACUCAUGGUGAGGUCGACCCUGCACUUUCACUCGUUGAUCUUGCUGCUCUUGUACAUCCUAUCCAUCUCUAUGAUCUAUCAUAUGGUAUAGAUUAUCACUAAAGUGGAAUUGGAGAUGUCCUGCUGAUCGCAGUCCCGAUCGCCACCACAUCAUCGAUGAAGGGUACCAUCAAAUUCACCUCCAACUACUGCUAACCCCGAUGUGAGGACCCCCAUCAUGAUCUCCAUUUUGUAUACAUGUUUCUUGCUGUAAAUUAUGGACCAUCAUUCUUGUAAGAUCAUGUUUUGGCGAGAUUUGCUAGUGAUACUCUAUGUUGUCCCUCCGUCCAAAAAUGCUGCUGCCGGUUACCGUUCGCAUUCCUAGUGAUCCAUGCCUCUGGACACCAAACCCUUUGAUCA